AAGAGCAAGUGUUUUAUUGGUCGAAAACUAAACCAAUCAAUUUAUAAGCCAAUCAGAACACGCUUUACAGAUGUUCUGUGACGUUAUUUUUAGAGGUCUCGCGAGAAGGAAGACGGACGCCAUUAUCGUGCAGGGCGAGAAAAAGCGAAGUUGGUUACCUAAGACUUGUUAACCCCAGUGUUGAGAAAGGAUGGCUGGUGAACAGCUGACUGAUGUGGUCCAGCUGGCUGUCAGUGAGAUAGCCACAGGUGAGCUGACAGAGGAAGAACCAGCUGCCAAACGGAUGCGGCGGAUGGAAAUCGUGAUGCCAGAGACCCAGCCAGAGAUCAGUAGGGACGAGUCCAGCUCCAUCAAGUCCAUCUUGUUCAACAUGAACAAGGCCAUCUGCCUACGUCUGGAAGGGAUUGAGAACAAGGUGGAAGGUCUGAGUAAUCGCACCAAGGUUCUGGAGGACAAGGUUGACGGGAUCGUACAGACCGUGAAGGAGCUGGGAAACAGACCUUCAGUCACGCCCCCUACCACCUCAAGGAAACAACACCACACCCCUCGGAGACAGAGUACAAUCGUCAUUGGACUGCCGGCAAACUCCGGAAACCAGUCACAGAACCAGGACCAGAGCCUAUCCACACAUAGUACAGAUAACGAAGAUGAUGUUCCCACUCCGAUCCCAACAAGACUCCAAGAAAAUGGAACUGAAGAAAUAGAUGAUGUGUGUCUCACAGCCAGCGGAGCAGUGGCCGUGCCCGAGGGAAAGAUGAAGGAUGAAAGUGCAGAAGUGGAGGAAGAGUCCAGCAGGAACCAGGGACAACGGUUCGGCCCUAAUGUACAGUUCAUCACGCUCAAUUCUGAAGAGGACUACCCAGGGGGAACUUGGCUGGGGGAUGAAAACAACAUAGAGAUGAGAGUCAGAUGCCCCAUUACACCCUCAGAUCUUCUCCACAUCCACCAGACAUGUCGGACAGCCGAGCGGAUGGCCCUGAUCCUGCUGGACUACCUGUUUGACCGUGAGACCCAGGCCAUGUCCAACAUCUCAGGCAUGGGCAGGCACGGCAAGAAGCAGCUGGACCCCCUCAUGAUAUACGGCAUCAGAUGUCACCUGAUCAGUAAGUUUGGGAUAACGGACGCAGAUUGGCACAGGAUCAAACAGAACAUCGACUCCAAGUGUCGGACGUCCUUCCGGCGCAGACAGCGGGGCCAGCCGCUCACGGUGAAGGCCUUCGCUCGCAAGCUUCCCAGCAAUAUGCACACUGUGUACGCGCAGGAGCUGCAUACAGUACAUCCUGAGGCACAGGCAGACCAGUUAUCACAGUUGGCAGUCAAUCAGGGUGACAUGGAGGUUCACAUCCAGGGGACAGCAAUCCAGCCAGGCGACACCGUAGCUGUCACUCAGGGCAACCAAGUACACCACCUCCAUAUCACACAGGCUGACGGCCACCAUGUUACGGUAAGUCCCACCCUAUCACAGUACACCACCUCCAUAUCACACAGGCUGACGGCCACCAUGUUACGGUUGCAGAUGGUACACAAGUCCACCAUGUGCAGAUCACACAGACAGCGGACGGACAGCAGGUUGCAAUCCCCCAGGUGCUUCAGCCAGGUGAAGAAGUGACGAUCCAGCAGGUGGCCAUGCAGCCAGGUGCCAUGUCCAUAGAGUCCCAGCCAACAGCCCUGCAUGGGAUGGAGACUACAGAAAUCCACAUACAGGAGGGGCAGAUACAGCAGAUCCAACAGCCCGACGAGGUGCAGAUCCAAGAGAUCGAGGGUCAGGAGGUCAGCAUGCCCCAGUGACCUCCGACCUAACGACGGACUGAACAUGUUCCCGUCUGUCUGCCGAUGUUACUUGUUGCAUUUCGUCAAGACUUUCUUCCAUUCAUUCGUUUUGCUUGUUGCCAUGGUAAUGGCAGCCAUGAUGGUUGCAAGAUUUUUGCUGUGUCAGAUCUACUUCCUUGUUGUAAAUUAGCCAUUUUUUUGUAUAAGGAAUGGCAAAACUUGUACUGAUAACCCUCUCUUUUGUAAUGUUGAUAUUCAUGAAUUAUGACUCAGUGGCGGCCCUGGUGUUAAAAUUUCAACUGAUAAGCUCAAAGAAUAUUUGCUUACUGCUUGUAAAUAAACUCCUGACUUAGACUGACAGUUGAAAAAUCACCUACUACAUUUAUAAAGGUUUUUGUAUUUUAGUGUGAGAUAUUGUAGCUAUAGCUAUAUGUAGCUGUUCUAUAUUGAAUUAGAUUAAUCCCUUACAUUGUCUUGAAAUGCAAGAAAAUACUUCUUCCUCAGAACUUUCAUCGAUUUGUACAUAUUGAAUUUAAGGUGACAGUGAAGUGCCAGAAUACAAGUUUGAAGGGUUGAUUUCUAAGCAAGAUGAACUGAUUCUUUGUCUUAUUUCGUUGUUGAAUCACUGAAAUGUCUGAUGAGGUAAUUACAAAAAAUAUAAGUCUACAGUUUAGAUAAAUAGUUGUACACAUCCUCGGAUUAGUGUAACUGCAUUUAAGUUUGCAGGGAUUUAAUCCCACGGUAGAGUGUUUGCUGUUAAUUUCCUAAUUGACACAAUGGGUUAGGCAGACUUACGACUUACAAUAAUUCUUGCGGUGGUGUUGUUUGCAUUGAAAAACGUAAACUAGUCAUAAUCAGUGAAAAUUUCCGUACUAACAGUAUAUCUUGCUUGAAUCUGUUACUUGAUAUUUUAUCUUCAAAAGUAGAAAACUAAAGAUUCGUGACAGGUUAUAUUCUGAAUCUGUCCCAGAACUUUUCUUGGCAGCUUUUUUCCAUUGUCAACUGUCCCUGGUCUCCAAGUUUUUCCAACAAUAAAAAGCUAUGGUUAGGUUGAAUGCAGCUCAGCAAAUUACUGUUGUGAAUUGACAGAAAUUUUUCGUUGGAAUCCUACAGACAUUGUACAAUUUAUGAGCCAGGCACAAAAUGAUUGUGUGGAUGAAUGAUCAGUUUUGAUAUUUUGUAAUAUAUUUCUUUGAAGUGUGGUCAUUGGAUGGAUGGAUCUAAAAUGAAUGAAAUAACAUUUUGGAAUUU
RNA transcript from Branchiostoma floridae (Florida lancelet), 3021 nucleotides. It is a transcript of the gene named protein BANP-like, with no coding region annotated. Lineage: Eukaryota; Metazoa; Chordata; Leptocardii; Amphioxiformes; Branchiostomatidae. The record is from RefSeq and is a predicted model, not a curated record. The transcript has 14 exons.